UUCCUUUUUUUUUUUUUUUUUUUUUUUUUUCCUAGCACUUCAUGGAUAUUUUUGGGUUGGAGGAGGCCUCGGGAGACCAUCCAGUCUGAACCCUGUGCCAAAGCAGGGUCACCUAGAGCAGGUGACACAGGAACGUGUCCAGGUGGAUUCAGAGUCCCUCCAGAGAAGGACUCUCCUCAACCUCCACGGGCAGCCUAUUCCAGUAACAUAAAGAAGUUCUACCUCAUGUUGAGGUGGAAAUUACUGUGUUUUAGUUCACGUCCAUUGCUCUUCAUCCUGUCACUGGGCAGCACUGAAAGUAGGCUGGCACCAUCCUCUUGGCUCCUGCCUUUGAGACAGAUACGUAUGCAUUGAUGGCAUCCCCUCUCAGUCUUCUCUACUCCAAACUGAACUUUCUGAAAGGGAUCUCAGCCCAGGCCGGUACGGUGUAUUUGCCUGACUUCGUGCUCAGCCUGGCGGUGACAGUCUGAGGUGUAUUUUCACCCUCUCCUCGCCAGGCCGCUCUCCCCGCCCGCCGCCGCCCGGCCACGGAGCGCGCCCGCCAUCUUGUGGGCUGUGCCCGCCCUGCAGGCCGCCCUCAGCCCAGCCCGCGGCGCCCGGGGCUGCGGCGGGAGUGCUCCCGAGCGGAUUUGGAAUAGGGAGUUCUCCCGAGCAGCUUUGGAAUAUGGAACAGAACGGGGAAUGGGGCAGCUUGCUCAGAGAAGUUCCGUCCCUGGAAGUGUUCAAGGCCAGGUUGGAUGGGGCUCUAAACAACCCUGUCUAAUGGAAGGUGUCCCUGCCCAUGGCAGGGGCGUGGGAGCUUUAAGGUCCCUUCUAUCCCAAGCUAUUCUGCGGUUCUGAUUCUGUGAUUUUGCAAAGAAGGGUAGGAGAAAGCCGAGAGCAGUGUCCUAAGGCCGGCAUUCCCUUUUAUCACUGGGAAGUGGCUGGUUGCAGUGUGCGUGGAUGUGUUUCCAGAGCCCCAGCAGGUGCAAGUCCUGGGGGGAACCUGGGCUAGCUGGAUGACUCCUGUUAUCCUAAAAACGGGUAUACCCACAAAUCCUUGCCAGUCUAGGAUUUAAUACCCCCAGCCUGCUAAUUUUUUUACCAUCAGAGAGGUCAGCGUGUGCAGAUCCUGGGGAAGACACGCGAAGAACAGGAAAUGCAUUUUGGCUGGAGGUGCCGCUGAAUCGCAGAAGCAGUGAGCGUGGCUGAUGAGAAACUGCCUGCUUGGCACUACUACAGCAGCUGCUGAGGUGAUGCAAGUGCAUGCACUUGCACCAGGAAAAGAUGAGGAACAAAAUUUUUCCUCCCCUGAGGCAAGAGGAAAGAUCCUAACACAGAGGGGAGCCAGAUGAUGGCAUAUGAUGUGCCCAAGUACAAAAGUAUUCCUGCAGAACUAGGGGCUAGCUUUCCUCUCUCAGUCAGUCUUUCAUGAGAAUUUACUGUUUAUCCUGCCUUAGCCUGGACUCUCUGUUUUGCCUAAAUAAUGGAACAGUGGUGCCUCGAUUCACUUAAAAUACAGCAUUGAACUUGUCUGUUGUCACUGAUGGUUGAUGCACCAAAGUCAGAGGAGAGGGACCCACAAAUCCUGACAGCUUCCCUAACAUCUCCCUUCAACAGGAGCAUCUCAGCCCAAGUGGAACAGUAAAAUCUCCUCAGAACUUGUAGUGCAACAGGGUUUUGUACACACCCCCAAUGCAACAGGGGUUCUCCCCUUCCAUGGGAGAGCUGUGUGAAGUUAAUAGGAAGAUGGAAGCUUGUGUCUGCUUUAAGCCAAGAAAUGGGAAGCUCGGCUAAAACUCACUUUGCCUUGCUGUUACCCUCAGCUUACUCUGUUAAUAUGCAAAAAAUAUUCAAUCAUCUUUCUGUUUGAAAGACAGGAGGUACUAGAGUCCAGCUCCUCUUUUGUAGGGACCCAUCUUCCACCCUAGUCAAGUACCUAAAUACAUUGGUGGGUUUUGACCCAAAGGCUGAGACUUCUGAAGCUCAUUUCUUAUUUGGGACAUAGGCAGGAACUUGUGGCAUUAACAGCUCAAUGGCUUCAGCUCUAAAUGAGCUGGAAAAGGUGUUCUCAGCCAGAAAGGUUUUCUAUUUCCAGCUGUAGUAGUUGAUCAGAGAAGCAGUGUCUGCCUCUCCUCUUUCCCCUUUUCACAGCACUGCUUUCCAAUCUCUCAUUACCCAGUCUGUCCAUACAUUCAGGGUUGCCCCAUCCCAGGUGCAGAAUCCACUACUCUCCCUCACUGAACUUCAUAUGGUUGGUGAUUUCCCAGUCCUCUGAUUUGUCAAGGUCUGUCUGCUGGGCCUCCCUACCCUCAAGGGCUUCUACAGCUCCUCCCAAUUUAGUAUCAUCAGCACUUACCCAGGAUCUCUUCAGAUUCUGCAUCCAAGUCAUUUAUGAAGAAGUUGAAGAGCACAGGGCUGUGGAUGGAGCCCUGGGGAACCCCAUCAGUGACAGGUCACCAGUCCAAUGUCACCCUGUUCCCUAUAACCCUUCGUGCCUGAGUGGUGAGCCAGUUGCUCAUUCAUGGCAUGAUGUGUUUAUCCAGCUGUGUGUCUGACAUUUUGUCCAGAAGGAUACUGUGAUAGAGUAUUGAAAGUUUUACUGAAAUUCAAAAAGAUCACAUCAACUGACUUCCCUUGAUCAGCUAGGUGGGUGCCCUUGUAAAAUUAAGUUGACAAGAAGGACCUUCCCCUCAGGAAGCCAUGCUGGCUGUGACUGAUGAAUGGUGGUUUCCUGCUUGGUUGUGCUCUCCUUGCAAACCUUGUUCCUCUCCCACACCAAGUCACUUAGGACACUUUGCUUCUGGUUCAUCAUUGCUGCCUCAUUUUGGAAAACUGGAAUAAAUGCUGGACCAAACCAGGGAGAACUGCAGGGCUGCCUGGAUGCUAUGCUGUGGAGUUGGGUGGUUAAAUAGCAGGCAGCUGUCUGUCAAGAAGGAAGAGCUGAGGUGGAGGAGUGAGAUGGGGGGUGUCCAAGCAGCACCAUACAGCUCACCAGGUGCAAGCAAAGGGAUGGAAUGCAGUCUCUGCUCAGAGAGGGAACACUACUUAGUCUGAACAGGAAAAGGGAACCUGGCAAGGACAAGGGCGCAGUUUUGUAAUGGUACAGGGGACGCCUGGAAAGACCAUGAAAUGAGAACAAUCAAUUAUCAAGCUGCUGUGGCUUCAGAAAAGCCAUUAUAGACAUCCUGGUGUAAUGAGCACAUCUGAUGCACAGAAGCUAUUUAACCUUCAGCCUCUUGCCUUAUAAAGCACCUCUGGGGCAGUGGGUAAAGCUGUUAAUUAUUAAGGUCAACCCUAGCAGACAGAGGUGUCCUCAAGUACCAGUUGCUGUGGUACACUCAGAUAAUUUCUCCAUUAUGUCAAUAACUAAUUUGCUGAAUUGUUCGAGAAUUGACGGAUUAGCAUCCAUUAACCAAGGCUUAACUCAUGGCUAUGGGAGCAGUUACAGGCCACAAGGUCUGCAGAACCCAUUCGUAACUCCUUGAGCACAUGUAAUAUAUACACAUAGACAGUAGUGCAGCAGCUUGGUGUUAGUAAAACACAUAACCAAUGUAUGUAAAAAGGCUGGGCAGGCAGUGACAGGCACUGGCUUGAGCAGAUGUCUCGAUGUUUGUCCUCAGGUGCUCUGAGAGCACAGGAUGAAGUCACUCUCACUUUUAAAGAAUUAUGCAUUGAGGAAUUGUAAACAAGCAGAAUCACAAACUAAACCAAAAUACCCAUUAUGUUCACUACCAAAAGGGCUUUUUUUCUUUGUUUUUUCCUGGGGAAAAAAAAAAUCCAUACAGCAAACAUUUAAUGGAUUUGAUGGGUGUGACUUUUUACAUUGUUUGCCCUUACACUGCAAGACAAAUUGCAUUGCUUUUAUUUAUGCAGGCCAUAUAAUUUUGUGUACCAAAACUUUGUAAUUUUGUGGAGGGACAUUGGGGGGGGGGCCACAGCGCUGAAGCUGCCUAAGCCUGGCACACUGGCUGCACCCAGCUCGUGGAGGAGGAGGGAAAUGGCCGUGUGACUGCGCCACAGCGUUACCUGUGUCUGCACUUACCUGCCUGAGACUCUUCUAGCUGACUGCCUGGAGUUAAACCAAAGGAAGCUUGAGGAGAGACAGGAAAGAGAAGGAAAUGAAACUAUGGUGGUGAUAAAGCCUACCAAUACCAACAUUCCUUUAGGGGAUUGGUGGGGAGUGAGGCACUGGAAUAACUGCUGCCAGCCUGCUGCCAGAAGGGAGAUGAGCUGCUUUACUAAGGCCAGCAAUGAACACAAAAAGAUAUGAAACCCUCCCCUAGCACAGAUGAAAAGGCUGGGGACUGGGGAUAUGGAAAGGAGGUCAGAGCAGCUCCUUAAGAAGAAACAUUACUGGACUUGCAGCUGCACCUUGGUGUCCCACCAAAGCUGGGGAUGAUGGGCUGUGAAGGAGAUUUCAGGGGCUUGUCUAGGCUGCUGAAAAGGCGGAAAAGGGGAAGUUCCAAGAACCAACACUUCCCUCAGGCUUAGGCUUGCCUCGUGGUUUGUGGCAGGCUUUUGGCUGUACUGCCAGCUGUUCUGCCCCAAAGGGAGAGUUUCAGCUGUCCACUGCCAGCUGUUUGGAGGGGAAGGGAUUGGCAGGGUAUGUUCAAAGACAACAGUCCUGUUUAAAUGCCAACACAGGGAGUAGGGUGGGCAAGACAGGCAGGGGGUGCCAGCCCAGUCACGGGGUGGUGAACAUGGCAGCAGCCCUCAUCUCCUUGACUUGUGCCCUGGGAGUAACGUCAAAGUUGGACUGGGGAGGGACACUGCUCCCUUACCUGGAAUGAUGUCUGGCUUUUUUCUCCCACCCCAGACAUCCUUUAUCAUACCAGAGCAGUCACUACCACCUUUCCCCACAAACCUCAUCUCCCUUGUGUUCCUUAGGCUGCCAUGGCCACAGCAUCCUGCUGCAGCUUCACUGCAGUACCUGUGUGCAAGGGGCAGGUGGCUGUGGGAGAGGCCACAUGGGGAGAGCAAGCCCAGGUGCACCACAGGCUGGAGCUGUCUGCCCACCAAAACUGCCCAGGCGGCUGUGACUGAAACUUAAUUUGCCUGGUGCAUUCCAUGGACAUUUUAAUCAUCAUUUCCUACAAUCUACUUGGCAAAGAGGCUCGAUUGGCAGCUGCCUGACUGAAUGGGCUUUCCAACCAGUCUAACCUUCUCCUUUCGCAAUUUCCAGUGCUGGAAAACCUCUCUGUCUCACUUUCAGAAGUUUCUAUAGCAAUCACAGCCAUCCUAGUGAAGCACUGGAAAUGGCAGCCCAUUCAGAUUGUAAUUUUGCUGGACAGUAAUUGCUCCUCUCUCCACUGGCCUCUGAAAUGUUACUUUUUCGGAGAUAUCAACUGCAACUGGAGGAGACUGGUCCUCUGCCUGUGUUUCCAACCAGCUUUGUUCCCCCUGCCCCCUGAGGAACUUUGUUAGCUGUUUACAGAGUGUGAACUGGAUUAGCAGGGAAGUGUUUCUGGGCACAUCAUACUGUGGCUACAGGAAAGACCUGACAUGAGUGAUGCUCUUAACAGACCUGCAGGAACAAACCUCACCACCCAAUACAGCAUGGUGUGACCUGAUCAUUAUCCAUCACUGCAUGUAGGAAGAGUUACACAAUGUGUUUGCCUUUCCUAAUUGUAAAAGAGCAGAGCACUCAAAGCUUUUUUCUUCAUGUCGGUGAACUUACUUUUUCUAGUUCAGUUGACUUCAGCUUAAACAAUCACUUGAUCUUUUAUUCCAUACUUCAUUUUUCAGUGGCUUUGAUUGUUCUUAAUUACUCUGACACUGAAGAACCAUGUGCUGAAAAUACAUUAAGUAACUUCUUCCAAUAAGAAAAUGUGGUAGAAUUAUCCCACAGCUUGUAAAGAAAUCAGUUAAGCAUUUCUUAAGCUCUUGUAAUGAUCUUCCCCUAUACUUUUAUGACUAUUGUUGCCUGCUGGAAAAAUUAGCUUAAAGCUGAGUAAGGGGAAUUGUGGAUAAGUGUUUGCAAUUUGGCUUUGGACUGACAUAGUGUGGUUGCACUCAGAGAAUUUGAAGUCUUUGCUCUGGCAGCAGUACUCAAAUCUGGGAAUAUAGGAUUCGCAUUGGAAAAGAGUGGAUUUUUACAACUAUUUAAAUGAACAAUUUCAGCUAGAGAGUGGAUUAACAGAGCCAACUAAACCCUUCACCCUGACAAAGAACUGGCGGGAGGACUAUAGAAACACAUCCAAAAUUUUACCAACAUGAAUGCAGAGUACUAGGUCACUGAGAAGCAUUUCUGUAUUUUAAUGGCUCUCUUAGAAAUCAAUUCAAUUUAAAACAAAAGUUGUUUUACAAAUAUGUGGAGAAUGCAGAAGGCUGGAGAGGGAGCAAGUGGCCUGCAUCCUCCAUCUGCUCCAUCCUCCCUCUCCUCACGCACUAGGAACUGCUAAUGCAAGUCCCCCUUCUGGGCAGACACAGAGGCAAAAGCAGAUAGUGCCCCAAACCCAAGGGUCAGAAAUGUCUCCCACUUUGCAGGUGCAUGGGUGCACCCCCAGAUCCCACACCCUGUAUUUUAUAUAUGCAUGAGCUGCUGAGACCCAAAUCCAAGCAGCAGGAAACUUUAAGCCUAGAGGUCUUGGGGAAGCUGAGAUACAAAAACCUGUGCUUCUCCAUCAGAAAUGAGGCUACAGAACAAGAGAGUAUUAAGUAUCCCAGGAUGAGGAGCAAUCUUCACUGACAAGAGAUGGACAUGUUGGGGAAUGCUCAUCUCUGAGAGGAAAUGGAUCACGGUGACAGAAGAGAAGCAUCUACUGGACAAACAAAGCUGCAAAGGCAGAUUGUCAAAACCUCUUCUUUAAGAAUUUCAGAAAAGACAGCAAAGCUAAGGGACUUUUUGUUUGAGGGAAACUGAGGCACCGGGUAUAUUCAGAUCCAGGAAACUGCAGAAAGAAAAAUCCUGGAUCUUAAUUCUGUUAGCUGCGUCAUGAUGGAGAGACUGUUCUUCCUCCUUGUUACGUGGCUGGUGACCCUGCUGGGCACUGUUUGAAACCUGGUGAGUUGCUUUUUUUCAUGUUUAGAUUGCUGCAAAAUAGGUGACAUCUAUCCAGCUGUAGUGUCAUCAUGAACACCUUUACUAAAAGAAAAAACAUUAAUGGUUUUCCUUUUCAGAUCAAAAACCAGCAGCAGCAGAAAGUGCAUCUUCAAUCCCUCCAAAGCCUUUGGAAGGCUGUCUUGUUCCACCCAAAAUACUGCAACUGCUCCCUCAGUCUGCACAGUAACAAAUACUGAAUAACUCUGAAAGACAGAAUUGCACCAUUUAUUAUU
This is a long non-coding RNA of Taeniopygia guttata (zebra finch), 7257 nucleotides long. RefSeq lists it as uncharacterized. The record is from RefSeq and is a predicted model, not a curated record. Lineage: Eukaryota; Metazoa; Chordata; Aves; Passeriformes; Estrildidae.